Molecule: ribosomal RNA, 292 nt
Filed under: uncultured Staphylococcus sp.
Lineage: Bacteria; Bacillati; Bacillota; Bacilli; Caryophanales; Staphylococcaceae
Description: partial 16S ribosomal RNA
Rfam family: Bacterial small subunit ribosomal RNA
Source: RNAcentral
GUGUCAGCCGCCGCGGUAAUACGUAGGUGGCAAGCGUUAUCCGGAAUUAUUGGGCGUAAAGCGCGCGUAGGCGGUUUUUUAAGUCUGAUGUGAAAGCCCACGGCUCAACCUUGGAGGGUCAUUGGAAACUGGAAAACUUGAGUGCAGAAGAGGAAAGUGGAAUUCCAUGUGUAGCGGUGAAAUGCGCAGAGAUAUGGAGGAACACCAGUGGCGAAGGCGACUUUCUGGUCUGUAACUGACGCUGAUGUGCGAAAGCGUGGGGAUCAAACAGGAUUAGAAACCCUGGUAGUCC